UGGUUUUGAUCUUGUCUGUGGCCCUGCCUGCCUGUGAGUUAGUGAGUGAGCGAGUGACUGACUGACUGAUAUCAAGAAGUUAACUUAGUUGACAUCCAGACAGACAAGCAGAGAUGUGCAGACAUGCCUCCAGCCACCCAGACAGGCAGAGGGGGAGAAAAAAACCCGACCCAGGGACACAUACAGCUCCUCCUGCAGAAAGUCGCUCUGCCGGUUGCCGAGCACGAAGGCCAGAAAGGAAAGGAUGAGGGCGUCCAGGAUGCCGAUGAUAGCCAGGAUGUAGGCCCA
Larimichthys crocea (large yellow croaker) is the source of this 288-nucleotide long non-coding RNA. RefSeq lists it as uncharacterized. The transcript has 3 exons. The record is from RefSeq and is a predicted model, not a curated record. Lineage: Eukaryota; Metazoa; Chordata; Actinopteri; Sciaenidae.